RNAcentral lists this unclassified non-coding RNA (1781 nucleotides) under Leishmania donovani. RNAcentral's name for it is "gene:unknown". Lineage: Eukaryota; Euglenozoa; Kinetoplastea; Trypanosomatida; Trypanosomatidae. The record is from RNAcentral.
CACAGUGCUGGGCUUGCCUAGCGCACAGCCAAGAGGCCACACGAAACUACAUAGGGGGUGAGGGAUGACGCGCUGCGGCGACGGCGUUUUCUCCUCCCUCUCCUUGCUGUUAUGUGGAUGCGAAUGUGUGUAUAAUGAUGUCAUUGUACGCUGUAGCACGCACUUUCUUGCCGCUGCCAUUUUGCCAUCUCCAUGUUGGCGGCAAUUCUCCGUCAGCCUGUCAUAUUCUCUAUCUGUUUGCGAGCGUAUUACACGCAAGGGGUGGCGGGCAAAAAUGUCGCUGCGGUUGCCAGCCUGACAGUGAUGGCACGCCGCCCCCGCCCUUCGUGCGUAUCGCCGGUGCCCUUUUUUUUUCGGCUUCGCUUUGGCUUCACUCCUUUGUUUUUCCUCCCUCUCUGCGUGUCCCCGAUGAUGGUCGGCCACCUCACCGUGAUAGCAUGGGGCCGUGCCCACUCUUUCUGGAGAGGCCAGGAGCCUGCAGCCGGCCCGCGGGCGCUGUUUCGGACUCGUGGUGUCGGCGGAGAAGUCUGGGCUGGCGGUGUGCCGGAGAGACUCACGGUCAUGAUCAUGCUUGAGCAAACCAACUACCCAUCGCGCCGAGGAUUCAACGACCAUUGGCACACACACGCUCCCGUCAAAGGCGUUCGGGUUCGGGAGAAGGCGGAGCGCCCCUGCAGUCGCAGACGGAUGGCAGCGUCCCGCCUAUCGUGGCACACGCGAAAAAGCCGUCCUGGAGCAGGCCCCACGAUGCGAGAACGCGAGCACUGCGCGCACGCUGCCAGCGGUGGCUGGCAUGGUGGAACGCAUCCAGGCAAGACAUCAGAUGUCAGAGUAGCGCAAGUGACAGAAGGUAAAGGCUCAGAGACGUGCGUAUGGAUCAGCCCCAAAGUGCGUGUUUGCGAGGCAUGCGGCACCUCCUCCAUCCAACCGGGUGGGGCCGAUGAUGUACAGAUGCCGAAAGCAUCACGAGAGCACCCCAAAUGGCACCAUGGAGUCGGCCAGAGUCGCGUGUGGAGAUUAUUCGCACCAUAUUACGGCAUGCGGCGGCUUGAGGCAACCGAGGGAGGGGCAUGGCGUGCAGGCGGAGGACAGGGUCUGAGAGGGCCCUGGCCUGCGGCUGGCCCACCUCCUCUCGGUGCUCAUGCGGCACGCACCUACACCAGCCCCUGCGGCCUGCACGGCAGACGCCGCCGCCUCCGCCCUCGAGCAGGACCCUGCACCGGGGUCCGUGUGGCGCCGGUCGCGCUGCACGCGUGCGAGGGCGAUACGCGGAGGGACAAGGCGAGCCCGCUAGCAGCAUGGCCCGACUCGACGGCUGAACGGCUCGUCGUGGACGGCGCGGAUGUGGCCGCCGUGCGGCAGGGGUGGGUGGGCUGCGGCUGUAUGCGUGCACGUGUGGACUCGGUCGUGAUGGGACGGCACGUCGCAGAAAAGAAUAGCUCCCCGCUUAAAUGCAUAUUUAUGUGUGGCAGUGCUGUGCAGCUUUUCGCGCUGCCUUACCUCGUUCGAAACACUGAUAUGGAUGAUUUUGUCGGAGAGACAGACAGCGACAAGUGUGUUAGCAGCGCAAACGCCGUCGCUAUGUUCUCGUGACACCCCGAAUGACCAGCUGUUUUCCAGUUGCCUGCUGACCGACUCCUUCAUUCUCCCCAUCUGUGCUCUCUCGCUUCUCGCUUCCCGUGGUCGCUAAAAGAGCUUUCCACUCACGCUGAUUGUGCAUGUGAGGGAGAGAGGCAUCUCGACUGUGGAUAUGUAUGUACUUCCUCCAAUCGCAGAGAUUC